GCCAGCAGCCAUAUCACCCUGCAACUCACAACUGGCAACCCACUGAAGCUAAGCAGGUGUGAGCCUGGUCAGUACCUGGAUGGGAAAUCUCCUGGGAAAAAAAACUAAGGUUGCUGCUGGAA
Ribosomal RNA from Lepisosteus oculatus (spotted gar), 122 nucleotides. The record is from Rfam. Lineage: Eukaryota; Metazoa; Chordata; Actinopteri; Semionotiformes; Lepisosteidae.